RNAcentral lists this ribosomal RNA (434 nucleotides) under uncultured bacterium. RNAcentral describes it as "bacterial SSU rRNA". It matches the Rfam family "Bacterial small subunit ribosomal RNA", at positions 29 to 507 of the family's 1533-position model. The record is from RNAcentral.
AACGAACGCUGGCGGCAUGCUUAACACAUGCAAGUCGAACGAGACCUUCGGGUCUAGUGGCGCACGGGUGCGUAACGCGUGGGAAUCUGCCCUUAGGUACGGAAUAACUCAGAGAAAUUUGUGCUAAUACCGUAUGAUGUCGAAAGACCAAAGAUUUAUCGCCUAAGGAUGAGCCCGCGUAAGAUUAGCUUGUUGGUGAGGUAAAAGCUCACCAAGGCGACGAUCUUUAGCUGGUCUGAGAGGAUGAUCAGCCACACUGGGACUUGAGACACGGCCCAGACUCCUACGGGAGGCAGCAGUGGGGAAUAUUGGACAAUGGGCGAAAGCCUGAUCCAGCAAUGCCGCGUGAGUGAUGAAGGCCUUAGGGUUGUAAAGCUCUUUUACCAGGGAUGAUAAUGACAGUACCUGGAGAAUAAGCUCCGGCUAACUCCGUG